ACACAGGUGGUCAGGUAGAGAAUACCAAGGCGCUUGAGAGAACUCGGGUGAAGGAACUAGGCAAAAUGGUGCCGUAACUUCGGGAGAAGGCACGCUGAUAUGUAGGUGAAGCCCCUGCGGGCGGAGCUGAAAUCAGUCGAAGAUACCAGCUGGCUGCAACUGUUUAUUAAAAACACAGCACUGUGCAAACACGAAAGUGGACGUAUACGGUGUGACGCCUGCCCGGUGCCGG
RNAcentral lists this ribosomal RNA (232 nucleotides) under Enterobacter hormaechei. Its description in RNAcentral is "partial 23S ribosomal RNA". It matches the Rfam family "Bacterial large subunit ribosomal RNA", at positions 1657 to 1872 of the family's 2925-position model. Lineage: Bacteria; Pseudomonadati; Pseudomonadota; Gammaproteobacteria; Enterobacterales; Enterobacteriaceae. The record is from RNAcentral.